GGAAGGGCUGUAGCUCAGUGGCAGAGCACCUGCGUUACAUGCAGAAGGUCCCAGGUUCAAUCCUUGGCCUCUCCA
Podarcis lilfordi (Lilford's wall lizard) is the source of this 75-nucleotide non-coding RNA. NCBI's taxonomy places the organism in Eukaryota, Metazoa, Chordata, Lepidosauria, Squamata, Lacertidae. The record is from the annotation of a GenBank genome assembly.